Molecule: unclassified non-coding RNA, 1456 nt
Filed under: Hevea brasiliensis (rubber tree)
Lineage: Eukaryota; Viridiplantae; Streptophyta; Magnoliopsida; Malpighiales; Euphorbiaceae
Source: RNAcentral
AAAUUUUCAAGAUCUAACUCGACAUGGGAAGUAACAGUGAAUUAUACACAUGCUACCUGCCUUCCAGAGUAUUUUAAGUCACCAAAAGUAUCAAUAAGCUAUGCAUCCAUAUCCAAAACUUACAAAACAUAGCAGAGCCAAAACUCAAGGCAGUACAAAAAGUCAUCGAAAGUGACCUAUUUUGAGUAGUACAAUGUUGCCAAUCACAGUUUUUUUAGUUCUUCGUGAUAUUCAGUCACUUCCCAGCACAUGUGCCCGAAGGAUCACCUUAGAUGCAAGUAUGUAUUUCGUAAACACAGUACAAUAUUCUCACAAGUCAUUCUUGAACACUCAAAUUAGCCAACCUCUCUGCAUUCUGACUCUGAAGUAAUUGAACCCGAACCAUGCUCUUGCGCCAAUUCCAAUAUUUUACUCUCAUUGGAUCAGCAUGUUCCAAGAUGGAACAAAUUUUCUUUGUCAGUGCUAAAUCUGGUGAGCAUGACUGGGGAGUAAGAACAUCUACAGCACUUUUCAAUUCUUGGCUCGGUUCAAAAUCAUGACAAAGAAGAUCCAACAAGAACCUCAGAGCGUGCACAUGACUAUUUUGGGAGGUUAAGACGUCCAAAAGUACUGAUGCUACUUGAGAAUCCUGAACUAGAGAUUGUGUAUCAUUCUUGUAAAGACCACGAAGAUACCUCCAAGGACUUUCAUUCUCUGGACUAGCUCUGAUGGCUUGAACUGUGUAAUUCACUUCCAAUUCCCUCAUUGCCACUAGGCCCCCUAGUAGAGGUGAUCGUGUUACGACAAAGUAUCUCUGAUUCCAAGCAGAAUUGUUGUAAAUAUCAUCUUCAAGGAGUUGUUGACAAUAAGCAAGCUCAUCUUCCCAUCCUCCAAGUGCUUGAAGGACCCACUGCCGAUGGGACCAAGCAUGAUAAUUUUUUGCAUCCUGAGAAAAUAUUUUCUUGGUGAAUUCUAGCUCAUUUGUCACAGCAUCAGCUCCCAGCUUCUCAGCAAGCCACCGUCUAUGAUGCCAUAUUUGAUAAUUUUUGGUAUUCUCCCCAGCAAUGCGAUCAACAAACUUCAAUUCUUCACGUAAAUCAACACCCAAUGCCUCCAGCACAACACGCCUAAAUUGCCAUACAGUGUAAUUUCCAGGGUUUAGCUGAAUAGCUUCACCAGUAAGCUGGAGGGCGCGUGUAGAUCGCUCAUCGGCUACGUAAAUUGCCCGGAAGUAGUCCAUGGUUUCAGAGAAGUCUUCUGUGUAGGCUAUGGGAACAACCGGGCAGGGCCCGUCGUCUUGCGGAACGGGCUUCACAUCGGCCCAGUCGGGCCUUUCCUUGAAAGGAAUUCGCGUUUUCGUCACCUCACAACUGUCCAUUUGAUACUCGGCUCCGGGAUCCGAUCGGAAAACUGCCGGCGGUAGUUCAAUACUGGAAUUGCCUUCGGGGUAGCAGGAAUAUAGAAUUAAUAUUAACGU